This is a long non-coding RNA of Marmota flaviventris (yellow-bellied marmot), 379 nucleotides long. RefSeq lists it as uncharacterized. The record is from RefSeq and is a predicted model, not a curated record. Lineage: Eukaryota; Metazoa; Chordata; Mammalia; Rodentia; Sciuridae.
AUCCUCAAGUGUUUAUCAUAUAAAACCAGAUGAGAAUGACUAAUACUGAAAGAAAAAGCUUGAAGAUACGGAAGAACAAAACUCAGACUACAAGGAAAUGGGGAUACACUCAGAAAUUCUGCAGUAAUUUACAAGGUCUGUUAUUUCCUCUGCACGACAAAGUACCACCUCUAGACAAAGCGUCUUCAUAACGCCAUGAAAUUUUGGCAGCAGAAAAAAUACGGCAUUCAAGAACCUAAUGGAUGGUAAGAAGCCAGAUGAGAGGACUGCUGCUGACCCCACCCGCCACAAUUGAUCCCAUAACCCCUACCUGUCAGCCAGGGGAGGGAAACCCUUCACUGCUUUGUUCAAGCACACAAUAAAUUUGUCCUCCAUAGUA